Molecule: ribosomal RNA, 446 nt
Filed under: uncultured bacterium
Lineage: Bacteria
Description: SSU rRNA
Rfam family: Bacterial small subunit ribosomal RNA
Source: RNAcentral
AGGAUGAACGCUGGCGGCGUGCCUAAGACAUGCAAGUCGAGUGGGUUUAGACCCACGGCGAACGGGUGAGUAAUACCUAGGAACUUUCUUUAAGUGGAGCAUAACCCAUAGAAAUGUGGGACAAUUCUCCAUGUGGCAGUAAUGCUAAAGUCGCAAGACGCUUAAAGUGAGGCCUGGGCACCAUCAGCUAGUUGGUAAGGUAAUGGCUUACCAAGGCUAUGACGGUUAGGGGUCCCGAGAGGGAUAACCCCCACACUGGAACUGCGACACGGUCCAGACUCCUACGGGAGGCAGCAGUUUGGAAUUUUGGACAAUGGGCGAAAGCCUGAUCCAGCGACGCCGCGUGGACGAUGAAGGCCUUCGGGUCGUAAAGUCCUUUUGCUCGGGAACAAUAUUUUGAGCGUACCGAGAGAAUAAGAGGUUGCUAACUCUGCGCCAGCAGCCGC